This is a microRNA precursor of Oryza sativa Japonica Group (Japanese rice), 88 nucleotides long. It matches the Rfam family "mir-156 microRNA precursor family". Rfam says of the family: This family represents the plant microRNA (miRNA) precursor mir-156. Animal miRNAs are transcribed as ~70nt precursors and subsequently processed by the Dicer enzyme to give a ~22nt product. NCBI's taxonomy places the organism in Eukaryota, Viridiplantae, Streptophyta, Magnoliopsida, Poales, Poaceae. The record is from Rfam.
CUGACAGAAGAGAGUGAGCACACACGGUGCUUUCUUAGCAUGCAAGAGCCAUGCUGGGAGCUGUGCGUGCUCACUCUCUAUCUGUCAG